Molecule: ribosomal RNA, 263 nt
Filed under: uncultured bacterium
Lineage: Bacteria
Description: partial 16S ribosomal RNA
Rfam family: Bacterial small subunit ribosomal RNA
Source: RNAcentral
UACGGAGGGUGCAAGCGUUGCUCGGAAUUAUUUGGGCGUAAAGGGGUAGGUAGGUGGUCUUAUUUUGUCUGGGGUGAAAUCCUUUGAGCUUAACUCAAGAAGUGCCCCAGAAACGGUAAGACUCGAGUGCUGGAGAGGGGUCGUGGGAAUUCCCCGGUGUAGCGGUGAAAUGCGUAGAGAUCGGGGAGGAACACCAGAGGCGAAGGCGGGCGACCUGGGACAGUGACUGACACUCAACUACGAAAGCGUGGGGAGCAAACAGG